RNAcentral lists this transfer RNA (69 nucleotides) under Ictidomys tridecemlineatus (thirteen-lined ground squirrel). RNAcentral's name for it is "Spermophilus tridecemlineatus (thirteen-lined ground squirrel) tRNA". It matches the Rfam family "tRNA". Rfam says of the family: Transfer RNA (tRNA) molecules are approximately 80 nucleotides in length. Their secondary structure includes four short double-helical elements and three loops (D, anti-codon, and T loops). Further hydrogen bonds mediate the characteristic L-shaped molecular structure. tRNAs have two regions of fundamental functional importance: the anti-codon, which is responsible for specific mRNA codon recognition, and the 3' end, to which the tRNAs corresponding amino acid is attached (by aminoacyl-tRNA synthetases). tRNAs cope with the degeneracy of the genetic code in two manners: having more than one tRNA (with a specific anti-codon) for a particular amino acid; and 'wobble' base-pairing, i.e. permitting non-standard base-pairing at the 3rd anti-codon position. The record is from Rfam by way of RNAcentral. Lineage: Eukaryota; Metazoa; Chordata; Mammalia; Rodentia; Sciuridae.
GGGGUUGUAGCUCAGUGGUAGAGCUCUUGCCUUGCAUUCAUGAAGCCCUGGGUUCUAUCCCCAGCACCA